Long non-coding RNA from Clupea harengus (Atlantic herring), 2143 nucleotides. The record is from Ensembl. Lineage: Eukaryota; Metazoa; Chordata; Actinopteri; Clupeiformes; Clupeidae.
AGAGGUUGGGAGAAGAACGAGAGUGAGGGGGUUUCAGGGCACCAUUCGAGAGCGGAGUGAGUAUUGUUCUUCAACAAUUUUGCCUCAAUGUUUUUUGCUUUUGCCAUGUAGCACAUUCAGUGUCUCCGUGCUUAACCUCGACCUUGCGUAAAGCACCAUCUCAUUCUGAUAUGAAAUGAUUUUCUGUUCACCGCAUCGGACGUCAGCAACCCUACGUUAACGUUAGCCAACUUGGCUAACGUUAGUUAAUUGCCGUUAGUUCGUAUUUCUUUGGUAGCUAAGAAGACGGGCAGGGAAGGUGUGCCUUCCUUUCAUAUCCAGCUGUAGUGAAUGGAUUAUCAUGUCAAGGUAAAACCAUACAGAUUUGUGUUCACCCACUACGAUGAGCUGCUCUGGACAAUAGAGUUUCGUGCACAAUGGAAAGUUGCUGGUUGGCUUAUGAAUAUUUUGAAAUGUGUUACGUUACACUGCACGCGGUUCAGUUCUGGAAGAGCUUCGUUAUCUGAAUGUGGAGGUUGACGUUGCCCGUGGAAGGGGAGAAGAAAGUCUGUAGAACACAUAUCAACUAGUUAGCAAACGCUAAAACCUGCGUUAAAAUAGCCAAAUGUGAGUAUACAUGUCUUGUCAGUAGACCCCGAACACUGUAAUGUAAAAAAGGUCAGAUAACAGUAAACGUUAGGCAAAAUAAGGCCAGCGAGCGAAUUUAACAUAAGAUAGCUAUCGACACUAGGCAACCUCAACGGUAACGUUAUUUUUGAACCAGCUCGUUAGUUAGAUUCGCAUUUAGAAGCAUGUGAAGGUCUAUGGCUAACAUAACAGUACGUUAAACUGCCAACCAAGUCGGCGGUGAAAUAACUGAUAACUGAUAGAUGAACUGUAACUGGAUAAGCAGAAACGAAGCUACAAAUAUUUUGUCGCUAGGAUAGCUUGAUAGGUAAGUAAACGUUAAGUUAAAGUUACGUUAACUUUGUUAGGAGCAUGGUUUGACGUUAAUGACAAGUUAACAAUAGUUAGCGUUUCCAUAAUCUGGAUACGAGAGCAAUAUGGUUGUUUUAAAAAUAUCAGUCACCGACCAAAAAUGUAUGGAUCAAAAUUGAGGUGCUUCAAGACCGUUUGGAGUUGAUAAAGAAGCCCUUUCAUUACGAACAUGUUAACGUUAACUUACAUGCAUUCAGUUAGCUGACUGACAUUUUCUUAGCAGGAACACUUUCUUACACAACGGCUAACGAAUCAAGCAGUUGACAGGAGACAGUUUGUCUGCGUCGGUGGGUCAGUGAAUCGCUCAACUUGUUCCACGGUCACUCUGCUGACAUUAACGUUAAUUCAGCACCGUAGCUAUUAAAAAAUAUUUAACGUAAGCUAAAAUCAAUAUUUAUAUAUAGAUGUAGAUAUACCACAUGCUCUGUUUACCAUCAGCAUAACGUUUAUGAGCCAUGAAGUUAAGAUGUAGGUAAAAUUACAUUAGAGAUUCAUGGAUCGACGUCCAGUUUCUGAUAUUGUGAGUUCACAUCAAGUCUCUGAUCUAGCUAUGGGGAAGACCUCUCCACAUAAACGGGCUAACGUUUAUGUGCUUCAAACCCACUCAUGGUCACUGACAUAUUAAACCGCUCUAGCUUGCUAGUGUCCAUCUAAAUGAACUCUGUGGGACAAGCCAUUCAUUGAAGACAUCAGUUCUGGCUGCCGAUCUAUCUACUUACUUAACGUUAGAUAGCGUUAUCUGCAAUGAAUGAAACAUUAACGCCGGAUGGCAGAAUUAUCUUUUUUACUUUGAUAAAAGAGUGGUAUUCGUCCUAGUUGUUAGCUGAAAGACGGUCCGGUCACCAGUGCAUUUGAUGUGCAGAUUACUGUGUUUUCUGAAGUCCAGCAUAUUCCAUAACGUUAAGUACUAACGUGACUAACGGUUCCUGUCAUUGGAAGUAGCUAGUGGCUUCCCUAAUGACAUUUUUGCGGCAUUUCUGACGUCAACCUCAAUAACCCGUAUCUGUGGUUAAAACUGUAGCUGCAACAAACCGAUUUUCAUUUUCAUCAAACUGAUGUAUAGACAGCCUGCGCAAGUCUUGAAUCAUGCGAUGACAACAUUCUUGACUCCCUGAUUGACUUCAUACAUAGGGUGCCAUCAGUCCAGUGAAGCGUUGUGCAGUUG